GCCUGCAGCAUCCGUACCAGCAUCCAUAUUCUCCAGUGAGAUACACGUAGCACCAGUAAUUUUCAAAUUCCCACCUCCAUCUUCUGGUACAAGACAACUAGGAUUGCCAUCUGCCUUCCAAGGCACAUUUUCGAUCACACCCACUUGAAUUUGCACAUUAUCAAGCUUGUCACAACUUUUUUCAUUUUCACCAACAGCCUUCUCUCCCAAAAACUCCCUGGAAACCCUAGCAAUUGUGGAAGGCGAUA
This 248-nucleotide unclassified non-coding RNA is filed under the name Hevea brasiliensis (rubber tree). The record is from RNAcentral. Lineage: Eukaryota; Viridiplantae; Streptophyta; Magnoliopsida; Malpighiales; Euphorbiaceae.